CGGGACGUGGCUCAGCUUGGCAGAGCUCCCGGCUGGGGGCCGGGCGGUCGAGGGUUCAAAUCCCUCCGUCCCGACCA
This 77-nucleotide transfer RNA is filed under the name Actinomycetota bacterium. RNAcentral's name for it is "Actinobacteria bacterium tRNA-Pro". It matches the Rfam family "tRNA". Rfam says of the family: Transfer RNA (tRNA) molecules are approximately 80 nucleotides in length. Their secondary structure includes four short double-helical elements and three loops (D, anti-codon, and T loops). The record is from RNAcentral. Lineage: Bacteria; Bacillati; Actinomycetota.